Homo sapiens (human) is the source of this 2860-nucleotide long non-coding RNA. RefSeq lists it as uncharacterized. Lineage: Eukaryota; Metazoa; Chordata; Mammalia; Primates; Hominidae. The record is from RefSeq and is a predicted model, not a curated record. The transcript is spliced from 2 exons.
CAGUGGACUCGAGUCUUUCAGGCCAGGAGAGGGUGGUCGGGGCAAGAGCAGGAAGCGGUGCCCUGAGUGACUGGGGAAUUCAGGGUCUCAGCUUCUCAGAUUCUGCCCACCUGCCUCUCCCCACCUAUGUCACCUCCACCUGGAGAACCUGCAGGGCUGUGAAUCCCGCACGGCUGACUCAGCCUGUUGCACUGGUUCCCAGAAAUUGCAGACCUGUGGAUCCUGGAGAUAAGGGCUUCCUUCAGGCCAGCACAGAAAGUCAGGAGCGGGUGUUCAGAGUCCCAGGGCGAUCCAGUCCCUGCACCCUGCAAUUUUAUGACCCUGGUGCAAGCUGCAGCCAUGGGUCCUGAGAGCCGCGCCAUGUGUAAACAUGCGCCAGGCUCCAGAUGAUCGCAGUGAUAACCGCGUGACCACUCCGGGAUCACGUGUGAGUGCACCUUCUCCACAGGUCCCAGGACCACCCAUCGGAUCAGGGAUCACUCCAGACUCCUCUCCUAGAGGCGCUGCCACCCUGGAAGCACAUCUGGCACUCAGAUCAUGUUCAGUCAGAAAAACGAAGCCACCGCGAUUAUGAUUAUGGGAACAUAGGGUUUACACGGGGGAGUUGCUGGGGAGGGCAUUUCAGGACAGCCUUGAUCAAAGGGCUGGGGAGAUGGUCCAGGCGAUGCCAACCGGAAGCCCCAGAGGAGGAGAGGAAAGCCAUCCACUAGGGGACCAUCGCUGGCCCCGAGCUCUGGGUGGGCCCGGUGUCCGGAGUCUGCCGUCUGCCUCCUGGAAAUUCAGGCUUCCUUUCACCUGGGCCUCCCCCUCCUCCCCUGAGCUUCCCUCACCGGCAGGCCAGCCCGGCCCUCAGGGACAGCUGGUGGGAAAGAUGAGAAUGAACACGUCCAGCCCAGCCCUGAGCCAGGGCAGGUGCGAUAGAUAUAGGCUGGGAGGCCGGUCUCCCUUGGUUCUCAUCUCGCCGGGUUCUAAUCUCUCCUGAAGUCUUUUUCACACUAAAGCCCUCAAAGCCAGCUGAAGCACUCGCCCGUGGUUCUGAUUAAACAUUGUUCUGACAAAGGAAAUAUUAUCCUCAAAGCCCUAACACUACAGAUGGGCCCCGUGUCUCUGGGUCCUGCCCCGUAUGCUUGGAGAGGGGUUUGGCGACUCAGCCAUGCCCCAGGGGGAGGCUUGCCGGCCUGCGGGCCCCGCCACCUUCCUGUAAGCGCUGGUCUAGCUGAAUAUCAAGGUCCCCGGAGGGCCAUAUUUGAUGCUGUAACUGCUGGUGUCACUUUACAGUGAAGACAUUCAUUAUGUCCCUUUGCAGAGCAUAUUUGAUGCAGAGGAGGCCGCUGGAGGCCUGAGAGGAGUGAGGAGAAAGUGCAGGUCCCCGAGCAGCCCCUGGGCGCUUCGCCGCCCAGCUGUGGGCAGGUCAGCAAGGCUGAGUCGCAGGGAACAGGAGGGGCCUCUCCAGGAUCCAGGGCCGGGGCCCUUGGAACUCAGCAGUUUCCGGUUUGAUAGGGGAGGGAUCAAUCACACAGAUGUAUAAAAUGUAAUACAGAAUAUUGAAUUGCAGUGAACAAGUCUAAACAACUUUAAAAUGACCUUCCAGGAAGACCUGUGAUACGAUUUCUCCCUGGUUUCCAUGUAUUCCGUACCUACAUUUAAAUGGCGUGAUGAUUUAUUUUAAGUAUCUGUGUGUUUGUAUCUCACACCAUCCCACAUGGAUGUCAUCCCAUAAUCGUCCGAUUUAUCGGCCAAGCGGGACCCCUCCUCCCCCCACAGGCCAGGGUCUGGGUGGGCAGGACCUGGUCUGACUCACAGCACUUGUCAAUGAUGGAUAAGGAUGCAGUGAAGAAACGCAUCAAACGAUGGAUAAGGAUGCAGUGAAGAAACGCAUCAAACGAUGGAUAAGGAUGCAGUGAAGAAACGCAUCAAACGAUGGAUAAGGAUGCAGUGAAGAAACGCAUCAAACGAUGGAUAAGGAUGCAGUGAAGAAACGCAUCAAACGAUGGAUAAGGUUGUGGUGAAGAAACGCAGACACACCCUCGCUCUCUGGAAGUUUCCGUGACUGAGGUUUUGGGACCAACAUUGAUUUUAAAUACAAGGACAGCAGUUUUAAGGACUCAGUGUGGUGAGGACUCAUUGGAAAUAAGAAAACGUUUGCCUACUUUACAGAUUUUUAUGUUCUCUAAAAUAGGUCUGUUUUUAAAAAAGACAUUUUAAAAGGGACAUGUUACAUUCAAUGAGGGAAGAAAAUGGUAAAUGUCAGGGAUAAUUAUUUUGUGCUUGAAAGCAGAAGAAAAUGAAUGAUCCCUGAUUUCCUGAAGCAUUUAAACUAAAACAGAACAGCACCCUGCUCUGUGCUCCCGACACAGGUGGCUAAUCCGGAAUCCUGGUCAACAAAGUCUGCAGCCCUGCAGCCUGCUGUGAUGUUUGCUGAGCAGCAGAGACAGGUGAAGAGUUGCUCUGAGAAUGCCCUGAUCUGCUGCAGCUGUAGGUGAAGGAGCAGCUUAGGAUAGAAAUCAAGAUAAGAGCAACAAACCCAGGCUCCCGCGAGAAGCCAGUGGGUGUCCAACUUGAGGGCGGAGGAAGGCCUGCACUGCCUGGACGAGGACUGACUGCGGCAAAUUCACUCCAGGGCUGGGCGUCCACGUCCAGCCAGAACGCAGAACUUGCCGGGUUGCGCUGCUCACACAGGCCCCGCCGUCCCCGCCGUCCCCGCCGUCCCCGCCGUCCCCGCCGUGAAGGUGCUCAGCUCUGCGUGGCUUGACUGCGGGCCCUCAGGUGUCCUUGUCCAGGGCUCAGCCUCCCCAUCCUCUGCAGCGGGGACAUUCUAAGUGAGUGUCUUGUUUAAAAAAUAAAGGUGGUAAAAACUGGA